RNAcentral lists this ribosomal RNA (575 nucleotides) under Echinobothrium sp. n. 5 FPLM-2013. Its description in RNAcentral is "partial 28S ribosomal RNA". The record is from RNAcentral. Lineage: Eukaryota; Metazoa; Platyhelminthes; Cestoda; Diphyllidea; Echinobothriidae.
GAAGAGAGAGUAAACAGUACGGAAAACCGCAUGGAGGUAAACGGGUGGCGUCAAGCUGCAAGCCGGGAGAAUUCAGUCGGUCAGGUUGUUGUGUAUGUGCCUAGCGCAUUUAUCAGUCGGUCGGGCUAGUCCGUGCGUCAAAUACGGACCUGCUUGCAGGAUUUGCUGUCCACUUUGGUUGGUGGAGCAAACUGGCUCGGCUACUGGAUUGUCUGAUCGAUGCACUUUCUCCAUGGUGGACACCACGACCGGUGGUACUGCCAGUCUGCUUUGGUCAAGUCCUUGCUCUCCUCUCCUCGUGUCAGGUCGCUUGGAUCACAUGCAAUUUCAGUGCACGGUGCUUGAGUCUUUCGGGGCUUGAGCAUGUUAUCGGACAUUGGUUGUAAACGAAGUGUGCGUAGUUGGUUGUAAACUGCUGCGUGCCUUUGGUGGGCCUUAGUGGUAUGAAUAACUGUGCAGGGCAUCGUUGUUAUCGGUCUCUAAUUCUGGUCUCCGCACACUUUACAAGUGGUCGCGUAGGCGUUGUCCGGGCUUGCCCGUGCUUCGAUCUGAUUGUCGUGUCGCCUGCAUAAAGU